RNAcentral lists this unclassified non-coding RNA (153 nucleotides) under uncultured Pleosporales. RNAcentral's name for it is "sequence contains ITS1". Lineage: Eukaryota; Fungi; Ascomycota; Dothideomycetes; Pleosporales. The record is from RNAcentral.
CCAUAAUAAAUCGCGUCCUGGACACCCAGGGCAACGCGGUAUCACCCUUGAUUUUGAGCACCUUUUGUUUCCUCGGCGGGGACGCCCGCCAGCGAGGACCCCUUUGAACUCUUUGCAUUAGCAGUAUUUGUCUGAAAAUAAACCAAAUAAUCA